Long non-coding RNA from Eriocheir sinensis (Chinese mitten crab), 775 nucleotides. RefSeq lists it as uncharacterized. The transcript has 4 exons. NCBI's taxonomy places the organism in Eukaryota, Metazoa, Arthropoda, Malacostraca, Decapoda, Varunidae. The record is from RefSeq and is a predicted model, not a curated record.
UGUUGUUGUUGUUGUAGAUUUCAUUAUGCGCUUUGGUUGGAGGAAAAAUGCGCUUUCGUGACUUUUUAUGGGGUGUCUGCGCUUUGGAACCACCCCCUCGCGCUUUAGUAUCGCAACACUGCGCUUUAGUACCGCGUUGCGCUUUCGCACCCACCCUCAGAUUUGAUGUGUUGCGACCUGCACUUCAGUAUCGUUUUGUCGAGGUUCCAGCUACUAUUUUCAGCGAGCCAAUCACAAGCCGAGAAAUUGUUGCAGCGCUGUUCCUGCCACGCGGUGGCCGCCAUUACGCCUUCUUCAUGCAUAUCUUCAGCAGUAAAAACUAUGGUUACUGGGACAAACAGCUUGACUGAUUUGUUGACCAAGACUGUUUGUAGUUUGGGCUUUGUUCAACCAUAAACAAAGGAUGGCUGAACAACUAUGUCCCCUGGAUCUUUCAACUAAACCUCUUUCAGGUUUAGCCAUGAAGCUGCCUAAAAGUGCACCUUAUAACAUGCCGAAGACUGUUAUAAAGGUAUCAAUGAAGUCAAGAUCCCAUUCCUGCGAGCCACACAGUGACAAAAUAAAUGACCACAGGACAUAUCUCCCAAGCCAGCAUGUGGAGGUGGAGGUAAAUGUUGAAGAGCUAGCUCCACCUGAGGCCUCUGCUGCUACCCUUGAAACAGUCUAUCAACCUGAAGAAACUUUUCUCCCAAUUGAAGACCCGAAGCCCCAGGAGAUUAUUCUAAAUGUUGAGAACUCGGCAGAGGUCUUGCCUUGUGAUGGAUUAGUAGAUGUA